GUGGCACAUACGGCCGUCCCCACGCCUGCCUUCCCACUAGGUUACUCAUCUUCCGCAUCUCUUGCCAUUGGUUAGAUGGUCUUAUAAUGGUGCCAGUGGCGUCCCAGUCCUCAUUCCCGAAAACUGGGCAUCAGUCGUUUUCAUCAUCUCUCUCAUCUACAUCUAAUUAACCAAGUCCUGUGUGUUUUUACCUCCACCGUGUCUCUCAGGUCUUUCCAGCCCACCUCUGCCUUAGUCACAGCCCUUGCUCCCUCUGCUUGGACCAUUGCUGUGGUUUCCAGACUGGCUUCCCUCCUGAGAGCCUCACCCCUGCCAAUCUGUUCUCUACACAGCAGCUGCAGGGACCUGGCUAAAGUGAAGACCUGAUGGUGGCAUCUGCAUCCCUCCUCGAAACCCUUCAGUGGCUGCCUGUUGCUCUUAGGAUAAACCCCAAAUUCUGAUAUCCAAGUCCUGAAGUAUACAAUCUGUCCAGUCCCCACCAUCACCGCUAGAUACCUCACUCGUCCGGAGUUUAGCUUUCCUCAUGUUUCUAAAACAUACCAAGCCCUUUCCAACCUCAGAGCCUUUGCUCAUGCCAUUACUUCUGCCAGGAGUGAUCUUACCUCGUCUUCGUCCUCCUCCCCUUCUUCCUCCUCCCCCUUUCUUCCUCUCUUCCUCAUCUUCCUCUUCUUCCCCUGUGUGCAUGAGCACGCAAGUGUGUGUGUAUGAGUGCGUGCAUGUGUGUCUGUAUCUGUGUGUCUGUGUCUGUGUGUGUGUGUAUGUUCCCCUCAGUGACCCUCAGUGAACCUGGAUGUACUCAUUUUCCAGGCAGGUUGGCUAUCCAGCAAGCCCAGGUGAUCCUUCUGUCUAGCUCCCUGCUCCCUGGGGUUCAGGUGCAUGUGGCCACCCCCAGGUUUUGUGUGGAUACUGAGGA
RNAcentral lists this long non-coding RNA (913 nucleotides) under Cricetulus griseus (Chinese hamster). RNAcentral's name for it is "lncRNA (ENSCGRG00015035484.1)". The record is from RNAcentral. Lineage: Eukaryota; Metazoa; Chordata; Mammalia; Rodentia; Cricetidae.